RNAcentral lists this ribosomal RNA (252 nucleotides) under uncultured bacterium. RNAcentral's name for it is "partial 16S ribosomal RNA". It matches the Rfam family "Bacterial small subunit ribosomal RNA", at positions 524 to 776 of the family's 1533-position model. The record is from RNAcentral.
UACGUAGGGUGCAAGCGUUGUCCGGAAUUAUUGGGCGUAAAGAGCUCGUAGGCGGUUUGUCGCGUCUGCUGUGAAAACUGGGGGCUCAACCCCAGCCUGCAGUGGGUACGGGCAGACUAGAGUGCGGUAGGGGAGAUUGGAAUUCCUGGUGUAGCGGUGGAAUGCGCAGAUAUCAGGAGGAACACCGGUGGCGAAGGCGGAUCUCUGGGCCAUUACUGACGCUGAGGAGCGAAAGCGUGGGGAGCGAACAGG